This 512-nucleotide ribosomal RNA is filed under the name Bathyphantes gracilis. RNAcentral's name for it is "SSU rRNA". It matches the Rfam family "Eukaryotic small subunit ribosomal RNA", at positions 395 to 910 of the family's 1831-position model. The record is from RNAcentral. Lineage: Eukaryota; Metazoa; Arthropoda; Arachnida; Araneae; Linyphiidae.
CCUGAGAAACGGCUACCACAUCCAAGGAAGGCAGCAGGCGCGCAAAUUACCCACUCCCGGCACGGGGAGGUAGUGACGAAAAAUAACAAUACGGGACUCUUUUGAGACCCCGUAAUUGGAAUGAGUACACUCUAAAUCCUUUAACGAUUAUCAAUUGGAGGGCAAGCCAAGUGCCAGCAGCCGCGGUAACUCUUGCUCCAAUAGCGUAUAUUAAAGUUGUUGCGGUUAAAAAGCUCGUAGUUGGAUCUCAGUUCCAGACGGGCGGUCCGCCUACCGGUGGUCACUGCCCGUACUGAACAGGCCAGCCGGUUUCUCUUGAUGAUCUUUACCGGUUGUCUUGGGUGACCGGCAAGUUUACUUUGAAAAAAUUAGAGUGCUCAAAGCAGGCGCGACGCCUGAAUAAUGGUGCAUGGAAUAAUGGAAUAGGACCUCGGUUCUAUUUUGUUGGUUUUCGGAACACGAGGUAAUGAUUAAGAGGGACAGACGGGGGCAUUCGUAUUGCGACGCUAGAG